GUGAGGAAUAUUGGACAAUGGGCGCAAGCCUGAUCCAGCCAUGCCGCGUGCAGGAAGACGCAUCUAUGGUGUGUAAACUGCUUUUGUACGGGAAGAAACACUCCCUCGUGAGGGAGCUUGACGGUACCGUAAGAAUAAGGAUCGGCUAACUCCGUGCCAGCAGCCGCGGUAAUACGGAGGAUCCAAGCGUUAUCCGGAAUCAUUGGGUUUAAAGGGUCCGUAGGCGGUUUAAUAAGUCAGUGGUGAAAGCCCAUCGCUCAACGAUGGAACGGCCAUUGAUACUGUUAGACUUGAAAUACAAGGAAGUAACUAGAAUAUGUAGUGUAGCGGUGAAAUGCUUAGAUAUUACAUGGAAUACCAAUUGCGAAGGCAGGUUACUACUUGUGGAUUGACGUUGAUGGACGAAAGCGUGGGGAGCGAACAGGAUUAGAAACCCGGGUAGUCC
This 445-nucleotide ribosomal RNA is filed under the name uncultured bacterium. Its description in RNAcentral is "partial 16S ribosomal RNA". It matches the Rfam family "Bacterial small subunit ribosomal RNA", at positions 354 to 796 of the family's 1533-position model. The record is from RNAcentral.